Molecule: ribosomal RNA, 440 nt
Filed under: Fusarium solani
Lineage: Eukaryota; Fungi; Ascomycota; Sordariomycetes; Hypocreales; Nectriaceae
Description: eukaryotic LSU rRNA
Rfam family: 5.8S ribosomal RNA (bases 150-303)
Source: RNAcentral
GAGUUAUACAACUCAUCAACCCUGUGAACAUACCUAAAACGUUGCCUCGGCGGGAACAGACGGCCCCGUAACACGGGCCGCCCCCGCCAGAGGACCCCCUAACUCUGUUUCUAUAAUGUUUCUUCUGAGUAAACAAGCAAAUAAAUUAAAACUUUCAACAACGGAUCUCUUGGCUCCGGCAUCGAUGAAGAACGCAGCGAAAUGCGAUAAGUAAUGUGAAUUGCAGAAUUCAGUGAAUCAUCGAAUCUUUGAACGCACAUUGCGCCCGCCAGUAUUCUGGCGGGCAUGCCUGUUCGAGCGUCAUUACAACCCUCAGGCCCCCGGGCCUGGCGUUGGGGAUCGGCGGAAGCCCCCUGCGGGCACAACGCCGUCCCCCAAAUACAGUGGCGGUCCCGCCGCAGCUUCCAUUGCGUAGUAGCUAACACCUCGCAACUGGAGAG